AUCAAACUUCUGCCCUGGGCCUUUAGACAUUAGCAAAUCUAAAUUUUCAGUUGGAAGUCUUACUCCAACCACCUCCCGGACUGUUGAUAUCACCACUGCCGUUAUCUAAAAUGACACAAUCCAGGCAGGGACACAAGAAGUUGGAACAAUGAGUCUGUAAUACAGACUGAAUGUUUGCUCACAGCUGAUCUCAUGGACCAGUUUCUUCCCUGGAUGCCACCUGUAGGGAACUCACAAAGCUUCGGGAGCAAGGAUCUGUACCAGUGAUGUGGAAUGUCUCAUGAGCCGACUCCAGCACACCUUCAAGCAGGAAAUGACUGG
This 321-nucleotide long non-coding RNA is filed under the name Capra hircus (goat). Its description in RNAcentral is "lncRNA (ENSCHIG00010023152.1)". Lineage: Eukaryota; Metazoa; Chordata; Mammalia; Artiodactyla; Bovidae. The record is from RNAcentral.